UAGGGAAUUUUGCGCAAUGGGCGAAAGCCUGACGCAGCAACACCGCGUGAAUGUUAAGCCCUUCGGGGUGUAAAGUUCUGUCAAUAGGGACGAAUUUUGACUGUACCUAUAAAGGAAGCACCGGCUAACUCCGUGCCAGCAGCCGCGGUAAUACGGGGGGUGCAAGCGUUGUCCGGAAUCAUUGGGCGUAAAGCGUUCGUAGGCGGCAAGGUAAGUCUGAUGUUAAAGCCCGGGGCUCAACUCCGGUUCGGCAUUGGAUACUAUCUAGCUAGAAUGUGGUAGAGGUAAAGGGAAUUCCUGGUG
RNAcentral lists this ribosomal RNA (303 nucleotides) under uncultured bacterium. RNAcentral describes it as "bacterial SSU rRNA". It matches the Rfam family "Bacterial small subunit ribosomal RNA", at positions 355 to 675 of the family's 1533-position model. The record is from RNAcentral.